UCGAGCACGCGCGUGUGGCAUAUCAAUAAGCGGAGGAAAAGAAACUAACAAGGAUUCCCUAGUAACGGCGAGUGAAGCGGGAAGAGCUCAAAUUUGAAAUCUUCAAGGCUUUACCUUGACGAAUUGUAGUUUAAAGAAGUGUUUUCUGUUAGAGGAGUAGGUAAAAGUUCUUUGGAAUAGGACAUCAUAGAGGGUGAGAAUCCCGUAUUUGACCAGUUACUUUCCAAGCUGUGUGAUACACUUUCAAAGAGUCGGAUUGUUUGGGAAUGCAGUCCAAAAUGGGUGGUAAAUUUCAUCUAAAGCUAAAUACUGGCGAGAGACCGAUAGCGAACAAGUACCGUGAGGGAAAGAUGAAGAGAACUUUGAAAAGAGAGUUAAACAGUACGUGAAAUUGUCAAAAGGGAAGCGUUUGACACCAGUGUUGUUUUCUCGAAAAUCAAUUAAAAAUGGUGGGAUGUUGUGUUGUAUUGACUUUAUCAGCUUUCUGCACUUUUUUCCUAUCUUUUUUAAUGCACUUUUCGUUUAACAAGUCAACAUCAAUUUCUUUUGUUGUAAAAGAGUCAUUGGAAGGUGGCUUUCUUUUCGGAGAAAGUGUUUAUAGCCUUUGGCUUCUGCAAUCGGAGAGAUUGAGGUCUGCAGCGUAGAUCCUUCGGGGUUAGAUGCAUUUGUGCUAAGUUAUAGCCUUUCAUAGACAACUUGUUGACUAUGAUCAGUCAUGUAGCUUACUCGCUUAUGCUAUUUUACCUACGCUUAGGAUGUUGAGUCAUCACACAUCUCU
RNAcentral lists this ribosomal RNA (778 nucleotides) under uncultured Neocallimastigales. RNAcentral's name for it is "partial large subunit ribosomal RNA". It matches the Rfam family "Eukaryotic large subunit ribosomal RNA", at positions 19 to 614 of the family's 3401-position model. Lineage: Eukaryota; Fungi; Neocallimastigomycota; Neocallimastigomycetes; Neocallimastigales. The record is from RNAcentral.